AAAAAUUUAGUUAAAAUAUAACAUUAAUUUGUCAAAUUAAAAUAAUUUUCAAAAAUAAUUUUUA
RNAcentral lists this transfer RNA (64 nucleotides) under Pyrocoelia rufa. RNAcentral describes it as "tRNA-Asp". Lineage: Eukaryota; Metazoa; Arthropoda; Insecta; Coleoptera; Lampyridae. RNAcentral also lists the same sequence under 2 other names. The record is from RNAcentral.